UUCAGAGUGUUGUUUUAUUUAUCUCUCUUGCACAUGAGAAAGGUCUCUUCUUCUUCUUCUUCUUCUUCUUCUUCUUCGUUGGGUACAAAUCCUUGUUCUAAUUUGUAUCUAUUUCUCAUCGGUUUCAACAACGUAAUCUGGCCUGAUUGGAUUCGAAAAUGAACCAAAAAACCUCUCAAAUCUCUUCGUUAGGAACAUGAUCGGGAAAGAGCUUGAUGGCCGUAGCUUCACCAUCAUCGAAGAUAAACUCUGUUUUUGGUUCAGAUGUGUUAUGCAUCACUUUGUCUCUUGCUCUUGUUCUUAUGGUUUACUUUUUUUUUUUUUAAUGUAUAAAUCCUUUCAAGUCUUCGUUGCUUGAAGAAAAGAGACAUGUAUCCAUCCGCAAUAAAUUUGAUUUUGAAUGUUACUUUGCUCCACCAGUUCAAUAUGAUUUUAAGAUUAUUUGUCUACAUUCAUAUAUAAAUUCUUGUGUCUACCAUAAUUUUUUGUAAGUGUCAUAGGUACCCAAACUAACUUUAAUCUGCCUAUUGAUGUGCAAGCAGGGAUAAUCAUCUAAAGGAAAGUUACAUGCUGGAUGAAGUUGACAUAUUGAGGAGUAAACCCCAUUGGAGGUGAUAGAGCGAUUUGAACAAAAUUUCUGGAAAGGAAAAUGGAUUCUCUGCAAAGACAAAACAUUGGGGAGAAUAUUGGGUAGCUCGGAGCAAACGAAGGUUAAUUUCUGUGGAUUUUUGUACAUUUAUGUGGAUUAACUUAAUUUUUGUAUUUCUUGUUUUCCUUUCGGUACUUAUAUUCAGGGGACUGCAGCUCUAAAGUGUGUUUUUAAGACGUCAGUUUCCACAUCAACCUCUGCUAGAGGGCUGGAAAGCUUGCCUAGAGAAGAUAUCAGUAGGAAGAUUACCCCUAGUCUUCCUAAGGGCUUUGAUAGUUCUGAUUGAAAGAUGCAUUUGGAUUCAACGGAAGCUGUAACUAAAAUUCUGGUUGUGGCUAAUAAACGUAUCCAACCAACUGUAAUUGGUAUGAGGGAAUUCUAUCUGAUGUUCUGAAAAUUUCGGAGAUAACAAUAAGCGCAUGAGAGAAUGAUUGGUGAUAAGCUUCCUUGGCUUCUCUUGAUUUUUGGCUUGGUGUUGUGCAUAUUUACAAAAUGGCUUGUUGGAUUAAGUGACUAUGUGGAUGCUAUAUGUUUACUGAAACCUGCAAGCACCGCAAUGAUGGUGACUCAUUUAAAAUUGAAAAUCAGCAGAUGUGCGAAAUACAGGUUAAGGAUGCAUUUCUUUGAUCACGAGAGUCAGUAGACAAGAAACUUUAGAUAUCCAAGGCCCAUCACUAGUUUUAUGCUUGAAAAUAAGUAAGACCGGGAAUUUUUGAAGAACCAUUUGAGUGAUCAAGAGCUUUGGCGGAACCAGUGUCGAAAUGUGUUUCAAAGAUUUCAAAAUCGACUUCUAGUUGUACCUUGAAGCAAGGAAACAGAACAAUGCAAGGGAUCAAAAUCGAACUAUGGAAUCGUUUUUCUCGAUAAGUUUGGGAGACAAACAUUUUCUUAUUACUUCAUUUUAAGUUUAGAAAGUCAUCACUCACAUAUCUUGGACUGCGGAAAAUUCUCUAUGAAAUGUGUCGUACUUUGCAUUACAGGUUAGUAUCAUAUGAAGAAAAAGCUACCUUUGCGUUAAAUGUUGUAUUUAGACGUCAGUUCUAUCUUUUUUCUUACAAAUUUAGUUCUUAGCUCAAUUGAGUGAGUUUUUCUACUAAUUCACAAGCACUAGUGAACAAGUUGCAGAUGCAAAGACACGAGUCUUUGCUACGAAGUGCCCUAUUGUUUUCUAUGAAGCAGUUGAACACGGUCGAGAGGGUGUGUGCUGGUUCUGUAAGUUUUCUUUGACUUUCAUUUUAAUCUGAACACAAUGAUGUAUGAAAUCAUGAAUGAUCACAAGACUAAUAAGGUUAUUAGUGAAGGCUUUCUAUGGUUGAUUUUGGCAGUUGAAGACUCUUGUGUCUCGCUUUUGUUACAUAAGAUUUUGAAAGUGAAGGUUUAUAGCUUUACUACUUAGAAAUUUUCAGCCCCUGGUUUCUAACUUUUUGACAAAAGAGCUUUUUCUGUUCAUUUGAGAGGAUUUGAUACAUGUUAGUAUGGAUGUUGGGCUACACUAUGCCACCAGAAAUGCUACAAUCAAAAUUUUGAGUGCCUAACACAAGUUUGUUAGUUCAGAAAGGGUUUCUUAAACCUGCACUACUAAUUCCCACUUGAUGCUGAUAUGAGAAAAACCCUUUCGAGGUACAUUUGUGUGGAUUGUCUUAAUUUUUGGAUUUUUUUGUUUUUUUUGCUGUACUUAUCAGGGGACUGUUUAUUAAUCAAAUAUUCGGUUCAGGAGAAUGG
Arabidopsis lyrata subsp. lyrata is the source of this 2371-nucleotide long non-coding RNA. RefSeq lists it as uncharacterized. Lineage: Eukaryota; Viridiplantae; Streptophyta; Magnoliopsida; Brassicales; Brassicaceae. The record is from RefSeq and is a predicted model, not a curated record. The transcript is spliced from 13 exons.